GUCUGCUCACCUCUCUGUACUAAGCCCACAUUAAAGGUGAGGUCUGCGCACCUCUCUAAGCCCACAUUAAAGGUGAGGUCUGCGCACCUCUCUAAGCCCACAUUAAAGGUGAGGUCUGCUCACCUCUCUAAGCCCACAUUAAAGGUGAGGUCUGCGCACCUCUCUAAGUCCUAAGCCCACAUUAAAGGUGAGGUCUGCGCACCUCUCUAAGCCCACAUUAAAGGUGAGGUCUGCGCACCUCUCUAAGCCCACAUUAAAGGUGAGGUCUGCGCACCUCUCUUAAGGCCUAAGACCACACUAAAGGUGAGGUCUGCUCAUGGUGUGAUAUCCACAGCAGCGCUUGUGUGUGUGUGUGUGUGCGCGUGCGUGCGUGUGUGUGUGUGUGCGCGCUGUUGGAGAGCUCUGGUGCACCUCCAGGGUCUCGGGUGACAGACAGUCCCCGGCAGAGACAGCAGCCCCUGGGUAUGAUAAAGCAGAGGAACGCCCUCAGUAACCUCGUUCCUGAUUGAUCAGGGCUGUGAAUUUCUUCUCUGCGACGUGUAAUAACAACUCUCCCCAUUGGCUAAAUCCAGAUUUGAUGUCAAAUGUGCCUCUUCUGGGGCAAACCAAACAGUUGUUUUUCCAUUCCAAGGUUCCAUACAUGGUGCCUAUUGUAGUGUGUAGUCCAGUGUGUUGUUUCAUGCAUUUCAGAUUAGAAUCAGCAGCGGAAUUAGUCUCAUUUAAGCCAUAGUGUGCUGCAGUGUGGAAUCAGCACGUUUUGUACAGGUUGUCCUUCUUUAGGCUGCCAGCUUGUCUCUGUGGAUGCGUGAACAUAUUAGUGU
Molecule: long non-coding RNA, 821 nt
Organism: Clupea harengus (Atlantic herring)
Lineage: Eukaryota; Metazoa; Chordata; Actinopteri; Clupeiformes; Clupeidae
Source: Ensembl